UACCGGAUAAUGUCCUUUGGGGGCAUCUUCGGAGGACCAAAGGGGGCGAGCGAAAGCGGCUCCCGCUGAGGGAUGGGCCUGCGGCUGAAGCUAGUUGGUGGGGUAGCGGCCUACCAAGGCAACGAUCAGUAGCCGAUGAGAGGGUGACCGGCCACACUGGGACUGAGACACGGCCCAGACUCCUGGGAGGCAGCAGUGGGGAAUAUUGCGCAAUGGGCGAAAGCCUGACGCAGACGCCGCGUGGGUGAUGAAGGCCUUCGGGUCGUAAAACCCUGUCGGGGAACGAAUCUCCUCUUCUCUAAUACAGGAGAGGAUUCGGUACCACCGAAGGAAGCCCCGGCUAACUACGUGCCAGCAGCCCGCGAAUACGUAGGGGGCGAGCGUUGUUCGGAUUUACUGGGCGUAAAGAGCGUAAGUGGUUCGAUGAGUCGGAUGUGAAAUCCCUCGGCUCAACCGAGGACGCGGA
RNAcentral lists this ribosomal RNA (466 nucleotides) under uncultured bacterium. RNAcentral describes it as "bacterial SSU rRNA". It matches the Rfam family "Bacterial small subunit ribosomal RNA", at positions 167 to 625 of the family's 1533-position model. The record is from RNAcentral.